Long non-coding RNA from Canis lupus familiaris (dog), 1104 nucleotides. RefSeq lists it as uncharacterized. The transcript has 4 exons. The record is from RefSeq and is a predicted model, not a curated record. Lineage: Eukaryota; Metazoa; Chordata; Mammalia; Carnivora; Canidae.
UAGGUGUAUUCCUGGGUAUCUCAUGCUUUUGGGUGCAGUUGUCACUGGAACCGACUCCUUAAUUUCUCUUUCUUCAGAGUCAUCGUUGGCGUAUAGAGAGGUGACUGAUUUCUUGGCAUAGAUUUAGGAUCCUGCCACGCUGCCGAAUUUGCUGUAUGAGUUCUACGAUCUUGGGGUGGAGUCUUUUGGGUUUUCCGGGUACAGUACCAUGCAUGCCAUCGGUGAAGAGGGCAAGUUUGACUACUUCUUUGCCAAUGUGAAUGCCUUUUAUUUUUUCUGUCGCUUGAUUGCUGAGGCCGAGAUGUCUAGUAGUAUGUUGAGAAGACGUGGUGAGGGUGGACAUCCCUGUCUCUCGUUCCUGAUGUUCGAAGAAAGGCUCCCAGUGUUUCCACAUUGUGGAUGAUAAUUUGCCACGGGCUUUUCGUAGAUGGAUUUGAAGAUGCUGAGGGACGUUCCCUCUAUCCCUGUACUCUGAAGGGUUUGGAUCUGCCAUGGAUGCCGUAUUUUGUCAAAUGCUUCCUCUGCGUCUCUUGAGAGGAUCAUCUGGUUCUUGUUUUCUCUCUUGCAGAUCUGAUGAAGCCCAUCGAGUGUUCUCCGAGUGCUGAAGCAGCCUUGCACCCUGGCGAUUAACCCCACUGGGUCGUGAUCUGAUGAAGCCCAUCGAGUGUUCUCCGAGUGCUGAAGCAGCCUUGCACCCUGGCGAUUAACCCCACUGGGUCGUGAUCUGAUGAAGCCCAUCGAGUGUUCUCCGAGUGCUGAAGCAGCCUUGCACCCUGGCGAUUAACCCCACUGGGUCGUGAUCUGAUGAAGCCCAUCGAGUGUUCUCCGAGUGCUGAAGCAGCCUUGCACCCUGGCGAUUAACCCCACUGGGUCGUGGUGAGUAACUUCUUAAUCAUGUCCCGUCGGAUCCUGUUGGCUCAUAUCUUGUGGAGAAGGUGUGCGUCCGCCUUAAUCAGGGACAUCGGUCCAGCAUUGUCCCCUUUUGGGGUCUUGGGUUUUGGAGUUAAGGUGAUGCUGGCCUCCAAGAACGAGCUUGGAAGUAUUCCAUCUCUUUCUAUCUUUCGGAGCAGCUUUAGUAGCAUAGGUAGUCUUUCUUCUUGAAGC